Molecule: ribosomal RNA, 460 nt
Filed under: uncultured Bacteroidota bacterium
Lineage: Bacteria; Pseudomonadati; Bacteroidota
Description: bacterial SSU rRNA
Rfam family: Bacterial small subunit ribosomal RNA
Source: RNAcentral
CGGCAAGCUUACACAUGCAAGUCGAACGGUAACUUUUGGUGCUUGCACCGAAAGACGAGUGGCGGACGGGUGCGUAACGCGUAUGCAAUCUACCUUUUACUAGGGUAUAGCCCAGAGAAAUUUGGAUUAAUCCCCUAUAAUAUCAAAAUUCCGCAUGGUUUUUUGAUUAAAGCUUCGGUGGUAAAAGAUGAGCAUGCGUCCUAUUAGUUUGUAGGUGAGGUAACGGCUCACCUAGACUACGAUAGGUAGGGGCCCUGAGAGGGGGAUCCCCCACACUGGUACUGAGACACGGACCAGACUCCUACGGGAGGCAGCAGUGAGGAAUAUUGGACAAUGGACGAAAGUCUGAUCCAGCUAUGCCGCGUGCAGGAUGACAGCCCUACGGGUUGUAAACUGCUUUUAUACAGGAAGAAAAACCCCGACGUGUCGGGGCUUGACGGUACUGUAAGAAUAAGGAUCG